GCGUCUCCAGUUGUUAACAUGGCGAGGCCGAGGUUCGCUCGGAGAACUCUUCGAGUGCUAAUCUAUUCCCCGCAGAGUUUUAGCAUUGAUGGCCUGUGAGGAAGUGGGUUGUAAGUGCGAAUCUCCGCGGCACCUAGUCCGAACUGAGCGUUGUCCAGAAUGGUGUUAGUAUUGCGGCGGUGUCCCGGGAACUCGCGGGUCCUUUUGGAGAGCUCUGCCCGCCGGUGACAGACUGAGGUGGAGGGAAACUUCAGACGCGGCUGUAGCCAUUCUCAGGAUGCAGAUGCAACGAACAGCUUCUUACUCAAAUAUAAAAACACACCUGGAGCCAGAGUGGAAUGAAGAACAGCAAAGAUUAUUGGAAGUACAAAAAACAAAUAGGGCUAAAGUUCAUAAAUUUAGUUUGCAAACAAUCCGCAGGCAGAAAGCCCUUCAGGAGAGGCACAGAGAAGAUGAGGAAAAGGAACGAAGAUUUAGUGAAAAGGUGCUUCAAGAACGAAAACUGAAGCAACAAGAUGCAACUGAGAGAUUUCAGCGAGCCCAUCUGCUGUCAUCACAGCGCCGGCAAAAUAUAACUGGCCAUAAAAAACAGACUACUCAAUUAACUGAAGCUCUUCAACAGAUUCACAGUUCAUUUUAUAUGUCAAAUUCGCCAUUGUCUGCUGUUGCAAAGCCCACAGUCAGCAAAGGGACCACUGAUUUAUCUCCAACUCCAACAACUCAUGGGGAGACAAGAAAGGUUUGCCACAAUAAGAGCCAACUUUCAGCUACUAAAGCUUAUGCCAAGCUUAUGCAAGAGAAAAGUGGGGUAAAUUUGAAAAACAGCCGGUUAUGCUUUCAGCAGGAGCUAGAGGAGACACAACGUCUCCUGGGAGAGCAACAGCUGAAUAGCUUACUGGAAUUCCAAAAAGAAAUCAAUCAACUUAAUCAAACUCAAAGCUUAUCAAGUCUUGACAGCCUGGAAAUAGAGGGACAAAAUGUUGUACACACAUCUUUAAAUGAUUCUUUUGGCUCUGGUACGAGAGAGGCUUUGCCUCUAAAAACAGGACACAUAAGUGCCUGGAUCAAUGACUUAAAUCAUUGGAGGACUCCAAUUUCUUCUUCUGGGAAUACAAUAACAAAUGGAACUGAAGCUUCAACUGCAGAGGAACAUUUGAGUGACAAGCUGCAUACAUUUGCUUCCACAAGUACAGAAUCCAAACAUCUUGACUCAAGCUCUGCUUCAUGUGCUGAAAUACAUCAAAACACACAUUUAACCAAAUGUUUUAAUAGCAAUCAAUAUAAAGCAGCAGAUAGUCAUUUCAACUCAGUACUAAAGUAUCCAACAUCCACAGAGUCCUCUGAAAGUUUGAAAGGUCAAUCUGCUUAUUCUGCAACAAUUCCUUGCAAUGCUUGGUCUACACCAGAUCCAAAUGCUAGAGAAAUAACACCAUGCUCAGAGGUGAAUGGCAGAGUAGAAAAUGAGCUCCAAAGAAAAGCUGCAUCAUUUCAUCCUUUAAAACUGCCUUUUGCAACACCAAUCUUUUUACAUCCAGAAUCACAAAUGGCAAGUGACAGAGCAAAAACGGACAGUGUGAAUGACAGUCAAAAGAUCCAUCAAGCACAUCAACAGAUGUGUGUUGGUGCAACUAUUAGAUCAAUCCAUUCUCCUUUCAUGUCAAACAAAAAUAUGGACAUUUCCAGUGACACUGAAGACAAGCAAGCUUCACUCAACAAAUAUAACUCUAAUGUCAAAAUGAGACAAAAUUCUGCAGCAGCCAGUCAGAAAUCUAUUUGUUCCCAAGUACCAUUUAAUACAUCUGAACCUGAUUCUGUAACCAAUAUGACAGAAGGAAAAGAAAAUGAACCAGUGAAUACCAGUAGGUUAAAAGCCAACAAGAAUUCUAUCCCAGAGAAAAAAGUCAAAAUUUUGAAGGGAAUACUUAAGAAAGUAUCAAAGUAUGGAAAUAGUAAAACCAAAUCUCCAUUAUCUGCCUGUAACGUGCUUGGUAUUCACAUAGCAUCCUCUAUUAGAGAUAGCUUGGAGCUUAAAAAAAUGAAAGAUGUAGAAACUGAUAAAAAACCAACAAAGAAAAAACUGAGGUGGCUGGAUGAGAUUGACCAAUCCAACCAAAUUAAGAAGGAGAAAGAUGAAGCUACUGGGGAAGAACUAGGAAGUACAGCAGACAUUAAAAGUUCAGAAUUAACAAGCCAGAAUCAGUUACAGACAACUGAUUUUCAAAAUAAUGAUCAUGAUGCUAAUGUUAAUUCAAAUGUAAACAAUAACGAAUCAAAAUGGAACACAUUAAAUACUAAUCAAAAGGUUGCUGUAAAUUAUGAUCUAUCUGGCCAUCAGCUAAAUGAAACCUGGGGAAACAUCACAAUGGCAGUGCCUGCAAUUUCAGAAACUGUUUCUGCAUCCAAUGGAUUAAUUUCAGCUGUGCCAUCUGAUUACCAUUUUGCAAAACGAUCCUGGACAGCAACAGGAACUCGAAGCUUAUAUCAGAAAAUGAAUGAAAAAAGCAAUGUUGCUGAACCUGAAAAAUCCUUGAGAGGAAAAAGGCAUGCCAAAAUGGUUAGAAGAGCCCAUUCAGCUAAAGUUUGUUCUGGCAGGAAAGGUACCAUAAUCAGACCAUUGUCUGCUAGUGAAUUAAUAAAUUCUCAGGGUAAAGUCAUGGUACCCCAUCCACCACCCAAACCAGCCACUGAUAGCAAGCAGUCUCAAAGGACAGCUGUCAGUUAUAACAGUAGUUGUCAAUCACAGGUGCAUUCAGCUCAUGUUAUUGACGCAUGUUCGGAUACAUCGGUGAAAGUCACGCCAUUAGAUAAAGGUACCAAUGAGAAUUCAAUAAUCUCAGACCUUCAGCCUCAAUUAUAUUCAUUAAGUAAUAAAUCUGACAAUACUAUAACAUUCCCAUCUUCCUAUUUGGUCGGCUCAUAUGAAACUAUUAGUAAAGAAACCUGUUCAGUAAAUGCUACACAAGAACAUGUAAGCAAUGGCACGAAACAAGACCCUUUCAAUGGAGAGAACACCAUGCGUUUGGAUUCCACACCAACUUAUGAACAAAUUGCACUGCUGUGGCAUAGAGUACGUGAUGCCUUGGCAAAAAAAGAUAUAGCAACUGUUAAUUCUCAGAACAACUUAUCUUCGAAUAAAGGGCAUACAACAAAUCUACAACCUCAUCGAACUAGUAUCUCCCAUUUGACUAUUGAUGGAGGCAGCUUGUUGAAUGGCACACAAUCGGUUUCCAGAGUAGGACAAUUAUUUUCUGCUCCUUCUGGUGAUAGAAGAAAGCACCCCAUAGAUACAUACAGUAAUGCUACAAAAUAUAAGGCUCCUCUUGAGCAGAGAAGAAUGAUUAGUAGUUCUUCUGCAAGUAAAUCUGAUCAAAUAAGACAGAACAUUCAGAUACAGCCAUUUCGAAGUGUCUUUAAUCCUGUUAAAGCAGUAAGUGCUGUUCAGAACACCAAAGAAGCAGUUUCAGAAAGCACCAAACAGUUUAUGUUAGCAGAAAAUCUCGUAGAAACAUCUGCUGUGGAUACUGACAUCCUGGCUGCUAUGGACUCAUUAAAAACUCAGCAACAUGCCUUCCUUGAAAACAAUGUACAGCAAUCAGGCCUCAGUGCACUGUCCUUUGAAGAAAAGAAACUUCUUCAGUCAUUAGAUCGCCUUAACCAAAGACUGAAGUGUCAAAAUCCCCUGGAACCAAGUAUUGUCACAAGAAGAAUUUCAGCUAUUCAUAAAGACCUCUACUUUCUGAAAGGCAGUACAGGACGGGCAUUUGAUGCUGGCUUUACCAGCAGCAUCUAGGUAUAAACCCUGCCUUUGACUGACAUUCGAUAAACUACUUAUCCCUAUUGUCCCAAGUCUCUUAAUUAUUUGGAAGCAAAAGCCAAUAAUGUUUAGAAUCCCUUAAUAGUAAGUGCAACUUUAAUUAGUAAACACAUAAAAAAUAGACUUAUUUAAAUUUCAUGUAUAGUAGUGUAAAUUCUACAGAUCAAGAAACUAUACAGAGGAUUCCAGUUAAUUAGGACUAGUACAUUUUGGCCCAAUUAUGUGGCUGCCAAAAUUAGCCAAAGAAUCAUGGAAGUAGUUAAAAAGGUAUAAAAAGAACAAACUGAGUAACAAAUUAUGUAUUUAACUGAAAUACAGAAAAAUUAGAACACUACUAAUAUUACUACAGUACUAUAAAAAUGUGUAUUAAUUCCUAAUAUUUACCAAAGGAAGAAAUCAUCUAUGUUGUGUUCUUUAAACUGUAAGUGAAUACACUCACUGCAAACAGUUAGUGCAGAAAUGGGCUGCCUCCAAACAAUGUUGUUGAUGAUUACAUCCUCCAAAUCUUCAUUUUUUUUAUUGUAAUGUUCAAGAUGAUUGUUGGUACCUUCAAAUUCUUCACAGUUUCUAACUUAUUGAAAUAGUGAAAUAGUUUCAUUUGCACUUCUGGUCAUUAUUAGCAUCUCUAAACCUGAAUGCUUGAAACUGCAAUGAGCAAAACCGUUCUGAAUUGUCUUACUGCUUAUUUCUCACCAACCAUCAGUGAUAAAAAUCACUGCUUUUUGAACACCAAUAUACGCAGAUGGCACCAUUUAAAAAUUGUUUGAAGCAGUGUUGUGUCUUAACAGCCACACGAGUGAACAUGACUGACACUGGUUAGAAACAGUUUGGCAACUGUCUCCUGCCCCAAUUAAGUGGAUGGUGUCCAAAAUAACUGAAGAGAAUCUCAGUUAUUUUCUCGAUUAGUUUUUGUUUUUAUAAGAGUUGUCCCAAAUAAGUGACUGCCCUGAUUAAUCGAUGGCCCAAUUAACUGGAAUCCACUAUAUUUGCUUUUCAUCGAUAUCUUUUAAUGUUGCAGUGCACACUGGAAGAAAAUGUUUUUAAAGGACAUCAAGAAUUGAAUAAUGAGCCACAAUGAAAGAUUAUGAUAAACUUCACUAACUAAUCGUAUGUUGAGUUUUGGAAGGAUUAAUGAAGCCAGAAUAAAAUGGAGAAGCAAAUAAUUAUGGACAGGAAAUGGAGUUGGGGUAAUUUGAGAGGACAUAGCCAUUAGUGAGGAACAAUGGAUAAGUAGACCAGAAUAAGCGGACAAGGAGUGUUGAAGAGGAUAGCAGACCAGAACUUACAAAUCUAGUAAAGCAAGGUGGAGGUAAGAUUCUAAAGAUGAAGGUGUUAACACCAACAGACAAAACUACAUUUUCACUAAUUUUAGGUGCAGUGUUCAAAAAAGUAGUAAAUUACUGUGACUUUAAUAAGAUUACAGUAUUUAAUUCCUUGUUAAAAAUCCUGUGUUUAAAUUUCAAUGUUGGUUGGAAUUUUCUCCAAAUGGGGAAAGAGGCAGUUUCCUAGUUUGUGAAUUUGUUGGAUUGUCUAUAAGGAGUGAGUUGCGUCAAUUGCAAUGUGGUUGGAGAAAAGCAUGUUAACCCCUAUAACAGUCCCCUUAAGGGCAUUUGUAGACACUGAAAUUACCAACCUUACACAUAUACAUCAGUGCUUAUACCACGCACACACUGCUAAAAUGGUACAAUUUAUGAUAAUUUUGAGGGGACAAAUGAACAUAGAGGCCUGACUGUUGUGGUUAUCUCAUAAAGCAAAGUGAUCUGUGAGGAGAGACCAAAGCUGUGGAUCCUGAGUCCUUGCACCCAAACUGUCUUGAUGGCCUGUCAGAUACUGUCAAAGGUCUCAGAACUUUUAAAUAUCUCUGAUAAGAGAGGCUUUAAAAUGAGUUAAAAUUAAUAUAUGUAAUUAAAACAGGAAAAUUAUUUAGAAAUAAUGGAGCAAUACGGUAAUUAAUUUACUUCAAUUACCUUAAGUUUACAAAAAUUAAUUAAAAUUGUAGAGAUAAAGAAAAAUAAACAAAUCACUUGCCUGCAUUUGUCUUUUUGAUCAGCCAAAUGACUCUAUUUAAAUGAGUAGGAUCACUACAUGUGCCAGCCACGACUGCUUUAAAGCUUAGCAUGUUUGUGCAUUACCCUGAUCCAAACUUUUUUUUAUUAUCUGACAUAAUUUAGGUAUCCAGGAAACUGUUGAAGCAAGUCCAUGUAAUGGUCUUCUUCAGAUUCCAUCUCCUUUUAUCACGCCAUAUGGUAUUUCUAGCUCUGGGUGGAGACCAGUAAAAGCCAUUUGUGGACCAGAAAAUCAUCACAAUGUUACCGCUUGUG
Hypanus sabinus (Atlantic stingray) is the source of this 6135-nucleotide RNA transcript. It is a transcript of the gene named centrosomal protein 126, with no coding region annotated. NCBI's taxonomy places the organism in Eukaryota, Metazoa, Chordata, Chondrichthyes, Myliobatiformes, Dasyatidae. The transcript is spliced from 12 exons. The record is from RefSeq and is a predicted model, not a curated record.